AUUGAACGCUGGCGGCAUGCUUUACACAUGCAAGUCGAACGGUAACAGGGUGCUUGCACCGCUGACGAGUGGCGAACGGGUGAGUAAUGCGUCGGAACGUGCCGAGUAGUGGGGGAUAACGCAGCGAAAGUUGUGCUAAUACCGCAUACGUACUGAGGUAGAAAGUGGGGGACCUUCGGGCCUCACGCUAUUCGAGCGACCGACGUCUGAUUAGCUAGUAGGUGAGGUAAAGGCUCACCUAGGCGACGAUCAGUAGCGGGUCUGAGAGGAUGAUCCGCCACACUGGGACUGAGACACGGCCCAGACUCCUACGGGAGGCAGCAGUGGGGAAUUUUGGACAAUGGGCGAAAGCCUGAUCCAGCCAUGCCGCGUGUCUGAAGAAGGCCUUCGGGUUGUAAAGGACUUCUGUCAGGGAGGAAAUCCCUAGUGCUAAUAACACUGGGGGAUGACAGUACCUGAAGAAUAAGCACCGGCUAACUACGUGCCAGCAGCCGCCGUAA
Molecule: ribosomal RNA, 500 nt
Filed under: uncultured bacterium
Lineage: Bacteria
Description: partial 16S ribosomal RNA
Rfam family: Bacterial small subunit ribosomal RNA
Source: RNAcentral